RNAcentral lists this microRNA (23 nucleotides) under Mus musculus (house mouse). RNAcentral describes it as "mmu-miR-6993-5p". The record is from miRBase by way of RNAcentral. Lineage: Eukaryota; Metazoa; Chordata; Mammalia; Rodentia; Muridae.
AGUGGGAGAAACGGGUGUCUGUC